AGACUUUUGAAGCCUCUUCUCCUCCGGCCCAACAAGACUGAUUUCAUCUGGUUCCAAACACCUUGCCAGGCAAUGUUCUGGAAGCUUCAGAAACCAACCUGAUCUCCAGGAAAGGGCAGAACCACGCUCCAAACACAAGGCAUGCAAAGAGCAAUCAGCCAAACCAGGCUCUGAUGGAGAACCUGAAUUGCCGUAGCUAUAUAUCAGAGCCUCCUCAUCUAAGCUGAAAGGCUGUCAAGCAAGGAAAAUGUCACGCCACUGUCACACGCCCCAUGGGAGAAGUGGGCUGUGAACUCAGACCAAGGCUGCACUACGUGUUCCUGAAUGUCAUUUCCAACGAGACUGAGCUCGCCCAGCCUUUGCAGACAGGAAAGAAAUUUAAAAUGGGAAACAAGAAUAGACGGUCAUCUAUUGAAUGAAGCUCUGCCUUUUCCAUCGAGCACCCACACCCAUGCAGCAGAGCAAAGAUCCAUCAACCCAGAGCAUCACAGCUUUCUUCGUGGUGUUGUUUUUUCCACUUAAUGUGGUUAGCUAAUUAGAUCUCCUCUGAUCAAUCAUUGAAUUACUGCUUCAAAAAGGCAUUACGAUCCGAUGAGAGUGCCUCACAGCAUUUUAACGCUUUGAUUUUGCUGUCCUAACACAUUUACAGCUAGUGUGAACGAGGCCCUCCCAGCAGGAAUAAAGAAAUACUUCAUUUUUUUCA
This 703-nucleotide long non-coding RNA is filed under the name Numida meleagris (helmeted guineafowl). RNAcentral describes it as "lncRNA (ENSNMEG00000022616.1)". Lineage: Eukaryota; Metazoa; Chordata; Aves; Galliformes; Numididae. The record is from RNAcentral.